RNAcentral lists this ribosomal RNA (463 nucleotides) under uncultured bacterium. RNAcentral describes it as "partial 16S ribosomal RNA". It matches the Rfam family "Bacterial small subunit ribosomal RNA", at positions 28 to 507 of the family's 1533-position model. The record is from RNAcentral.
GACGAACGCUGGCGGCGUGCUUAACACAUGCAAGUCGAACGGAAAGGCCUUUUCGGAGGUACUCGAGUGGCGAACGGGUGAGUAACACGUGGGUGAUCUGCCCUGCACUCUGGGAUAAGCCUGGGAAACUGGGUCUAAUACCGGAUAGGACCGCACUUUAGUGUGUGUGGUGGAAAGUUUUUUCGGUGUAGGAUGAGCCCGCGGCCUAUCAGCUUGUUGGUGGGGUAAUGGCCUACCAAGGCGGCGACGGGUAGCCGGACUGAGAGGUUGGUCGGCCACAUUGGGACUGAGAUACGGCCCAGACUCCUACGGGGGGCAGCAGUGGGGAAUAUUGCACAAUGGGCGCAAGCCUGAUGCAGCGACGCCGCGUGGGGGAUGACGGCCUUCGGGUUGUAAACUCCUUUCGCCAGGGACGAAGCGUUUUGUGACGGUACCUGGAGAAGAAGCACCGGCUAACUACGUG